This 1717-nucleotide long non-coding RNA is filed under the name Mytilus galloprovincialis (Mediterranean mussel). The record is from RNAcentral. Lineage: Eukaryota; Metazoa; Mollusca; Bivalvia; Mytilida; Mytilidae.
GCCAUAUUGACUUCUCUUAUAUUCUUGUCUGACUGUUUUAUUGCAGUUUUGUUUCGAUGCUUGUGUGUGAUCAGCUUCAUUGUGAAUUCUGCAAUGUCUAUACUUAUGAUGGCACUUAGCAUGAGUAUCGGUAGGUGAUAUUUUUAUACAUUCUUAUUUCUUCAUUUGCCUAUUCUUUUAUUUGUAUCAAUUGACUCUGAUACUCACCCAUCUACGUUGACUUAUAUGAUAAGUUAUUGAGCAUACAUUUCCAAAGAUAAUGUUUCGGUAACAACAGCUGUCAAGUUUUUUUUUAAAGGCAAUAAUUAUAAAACGUAGCCUUCGUCUCUCAAAGUAAAGAAACAGUUUGUGCACUUAUGUAAUUUUUCAUUGUAGUGCUCUCCAAGUGAGCUUGUUAAAUGCUGGUUUACGAGCAUACAUGAAACACAUUUCUUGAGAUACAUGAGAUACAGGCACUUACUUAUAAUUAAAUUAAAUGCGUUUUUUUUGUCAAAUGGAUACGUUGGUACGUGAUAACUAUAGAUAAAAUUAUUCAAAUUUAUUAAGCACUUAGCAACAUUAUAUAUAUUUUUAAUAGUUUUCACUUCUUACAAUAUAUUUAAAUUAUUUCAGGUAGAACAAUUGGUCUAACGGUUCUUUGCUGUCUUAUACAUGUUAUAAGCCCCAUCGUGUAUAUUAGUGUACCACAUAAAAGAAAAGAAAAUAGCGCACGUAUAUAACUUGUGGAGGAUAAAAAAUUACAUAUAAGAAAUAAGAAAGCAGGGACACCCGAGAAAUUAGAUGUAUGCCAGUAGGAUUAUCAUGCAUAUUCUAAACAUUCACAUUGAUAUUUUAGAAUCGUCGAAAGCGUCACCAAGGGAUGCAAAUUCGAAGAUUCUAAAAUAUUUAUAUAUGUAUAUAAUUAUAUUCUUUGAUAUCAUAAAAAUAACAAAUAAGUAAACAUAAACCUACAUUUUCUCUAUGUAUUAAUGUUCUAUCACCGUGUUGGAUAUUAGAUACUAUCGAGUCCAAACAUUUGUCGCAGGUGUGGUUGAGACACAAUGUAAAAGGACACAAAUACAACACAGUAAUUAUGAUAUGUUGUAACACAAUUAAUUUAUCACAAUUACGUUUAUAAGGAUCGUAGAAACUCUCAUGAGGAGUGUUUGGUGAUAUUUAUGUGGUCUGAAGCUGAUAAACAUAUCGGCUAAUCUUUAGAAAAUCACUAAUCAGCAAUUUUGAAAAUCUUUAGUUUUCUAUGACCUAGUUUGACUGUGUCUCAUUCUUAGUCUUUGAUCUGUUUGGUCAAGAUAGUUUCUAUUUGAGUUUGAUUGCCAUCUUCGUAUUGUUGCUGUUCACCAUGAUCAACAAGCCUUGACUGCUUGGUAAUUUAGUUCUCUGAUUAUCAAUUGCAACGUAUUUAUAUAUUUUCUGUGUCAUCUGACAAUCGGAACCAACUAAAUAUUCUGAUUCCAGAAAUUACUUUUGUUUGAAUGAUUCUUUUUUACUUGUACUGACAUGUACAUCAUAUCUCAAUAAGUCAGUAUAGACUAAACAUACAUCUGUUUGGUUGAAAGAUAUUAAACACUUCAUUUCAUAAAAAAAAUAUUGUAGAUUUUUUAAAAUCAAAAUUAAUAGCCAGUUUGAUGUUUACUUGAAAAGAGACAUAAUGUACAUGUUCAUGUUCGAAUCGGAAAACUGUUAUUGAAAAACUGUAUCCUUUAUAAUGUAUUAUAAA